AUGGAUCCGAGCAAGCACAAGCCGUCCCGCCCCGCGCCCUCCCACGGCGGCGGCCGCGCUGCCUACCGCGGGGAGACCUCGUCCUCGUCGUCGCUGCGGCCGCCACCGCAGCAGCAGCAGGGGCACGUGAUUCCGCCCGUGCCGCUGCCGGAGGCGAGCCUGCCUGUGGAUCAUGGGGCGGACGCGUUUCCCUCCGAGCUCGAGUCGCAGGGGCGAAGGAUGGGGGAGCUGUACUUGAGGGAUUCGCUGCCGCGCCGCGUGCGGGUGGAUCCGUCCCGGAGCGCCGUGUACGGCUACGAGCCGGCCCAUCCCACGCCCCCGCACCCCCGCGUCCACGACGACGAGACGACGCGCGGCGGCGCCUCGGUCGUCUCGUCGAUACAGCAGCAGCCGGGACCGAUCCCGCCGCUGCACCCGCAGUUUGGGGCGCCGCAGCACCUCUACGGGCGGAGCGAGACCUCCUCGAGCGGCGCCGCUCCGGUUGGCACCGCGCGACCGUCCGCAGUGGACCUGUUCUACGGGCGGCGCGGGACCUCCUCGAGCGGCGCCGCUCCAGUUGGCACGGCGCGACCGUCCGCAGUCGAGCUGUUCUACGGGCGGCGCGAGACCUCGUCGAGCAGCGCCGCUCCGGUUGGCACCGCGCGACCGUCCGCAGUCGAGCUGUUCUACGGGCGGCGCGGGACCUCCUCGAGCAGCGCCGCUCCAGUUGGCACCGCGCGACCGUCCGCAGUCGAGCUGUUCUACGGCCCACCUCCAUCUGAAGCCGCGCUCGCAGCGACCGCCCACCUAUUGCCCACAGCGUCGUCGUCUAGGCAGCAGAGGCUGGAGAAGAUCCGAUCGGAGUCGCUCCGUUCCCCGAUGACGCUUGAGCAGCUGCUGAUGUCCCGCUCGGCGUUGGUGGUCCAACUGCUCGAGCAGGUUGACGAGGAGAUACGCCGCAGGGUGCUCGGCUGGUUCGUGCACCGCGCGCACGAGAUCAUGGGGAACAGGCAGGGGCAUGCGGAGUUCGCCACGCUGCUGCGCAUCUGCCGCUGGCGGCAUGAGGAGCUCCGCAGCAUCGUGGAGGCCGCCAUCACGCCCAACCUCGUCUCAAGGUCCAACGACGGGGUGACUUCUCUGAAGAUGCUCAUUGCCGAGGUGGCGCGGCACUGGGACCUGUCCGAGCGGCUCGUCGGCAGCUUCGUGAAUGAGCGCGUGAUGGACGAGCCCGGAGGGAACGAACUGAUUGCUCACUGUUUCACCACGAUGCCUUACGAGGCGACCAAGGCUCUGAUCCGGCACGCCCUGGACACCAUCAAUGACAAGCUGGAGUCAGAGUUCGGGUCGAGGUGCCUGGCAGUAUGCUUCAGGAACGCGCGAGCUGACGAGCUCAAGGACUUCGAGAAGGUCGUCUGUGAAGACGCCAUAGCAAUGGCCAUGGGCCAAUACAGCAACUACUUCAUGCAGGGCGUCCUGGAGCAUGGGGACAUAGGUGUACAGUACGCCGUCGUGGAUCAGCUCAUGACGGAAGUCGCCAGUCUGUGCUGCCACCGGUACGGGCACUACGUCCUGCAGUCUUGCAUCCUGAAGACCGGCGAUUACCGGGGCGAGCUGCUGCGGCGUCUGAUCCAGGAGCUUGAACGGCUGGGCGAUACACAGCUCGCCGGGCUGGUGAAGAACCGCUUCGGCAGUCGCGUCCUCAGCCGCCUGCUCGACACGGCCGAAACUCCUCGCUUCAGGAACGAGCGCUGGGGUUGGGAGCUGGCCCAGAGGAUCCGGCGCGCAUCGGCGGCCCACCUGGGGCCUGACCUGGAGAAGACUAACGCAAAGCGGGUGAUGAAGUCCGUAGACCGGAUGGGGCUGUAG
Molecule: ribosomal RNA, 1845 nt
Filed under: Triticum aestivum (bread wheat)
Lineage: Eukaryota; Viridiplantae; Streptophyta; Magnoliopsida; Poales; Poaceae
Description: partial small subunit ribosomal RNA
Source: RNAcentral